RNAcentral lists this ribosomal RNA (263 nucleotides) under uncultured bacterium. Its description in RNAcentral is "partial 16S ribosomal RNA". It matches the Rfam family "Bacterial small subunit ribosomal RNA", at positions 793 to 1055 of the family's 1533-position model. The record is from RNAcentral.
GUCCACGCCGUAAACGAUGGGUACUAGAUGUUGCAGGAAUUGACCCCUGCAGUGUCGUAGCUAACGCAUUAAGUACCCCGCCUGGGAAGUACGGUCGCAAGAUUAAAACUCAAAGGAAUUGACGGGGCCCGCACAAGCGGUGGAGCAUGUGGUUUAAUUCGAUGCAACGCGAAGAACCUUACCUAGAUUUGACAUCCACUGACAUCCGUAGAAGUACGGCUUUCCCUUCGGGGACAGUGAGACAGGUGCUGCAUGGCUGUCGU